UUGGGUGGCCCUCAUCUUUCUCAAUCACUUGGGAUUUUGAUAAGGGUCAUAUUCUUCCUACUCGGCUUUUGGUGUUUGAUCUAGGAUUGUAUUGAGUUCCAUGUAUCUUAACCGUUGUCCUUUGUUGUAAGCCAUUUAUGACCUUUGUUGCUAGAAUCAUCAGUAGUUUUUAUUUCAGUGUCAUCUAUGAUCAUUUUGGUUUGGUCAUUUGUGGCCUCGUUUAGGUUAUCUGUAAUUUAAUUUAUUUGAAUUGUUUGGUAGUCAUGUAACUCCUACUCCGUCAAUGAAUAGUUUGCAAUGAAAAGGAAAAUAAUCCUACCAAUUGAGUCUUAGUUUUUUCAGUACAGGAGGUCGUGGAUUUGAG
This 364-nucleotide long non-coding RNA is filed under the name Gossypium barbadense (sea-island cotton). Its description in RNAcentral is "long non-coding RNA (GBAR_LNC003504)". Lineage: Eukaryota; Viridiplantae; Streptophyta; Magnoliopsida; Malvales; Malvaceae. The record is from RNAcentral.